GACGAACGCUGGCGGCGUGCCUAACACAUGCAAGUCGAACGGAAAGGCGCGGCGCUUGUGGGGUGCUCGAGUGGCGAAGGGGGGAGUAAAACGUGAGGAAACCGCCCUUGACUGUGGGAUAAAACUAGGAAACUGGGGCUAAUACCCGGUAGGAGCUCCUGCUGCACGGGGGGGGUUGGAAAGAUUCGGCGGUUGGGGAUGGUCUCGCUGCUUAUGAGCUUGUUGGUGGGGUAGGGGCGUACCAAGGCUUUGAAGGGUAGGCGGCCUGGGAGGGUGGCCGGCCACCUUGCUCCUACGGUACGCCCCAGUCUCCUACCUGCGGCAACAGUGGAGAGUAUUACGCAGUGGGCGGGCGCCUGUUACGGCAACGCCGCGUGCGUAAUGACGGCCUUCGGGUUGUAAACCACUUUCGCCUGUGACGAAGCGUGCGUGACGGUAAUGAGUCAGAAAGCACCGGCUAACUACGUG
This 468-nucleotide ribosomal RNA is filed under the name uncultured bacterium. RNAcentral's name for it is "partial 16S ribosomal RNA". It matches the Rfam family "Bacterial small subunit ribosomal RNA", at positions 28 to 507 of the family's 1533-position model. The record is from RNAcentral.